AUCAACUUUCGAUGGUAGGAUAGAGGCCUACCAUGGUUUUUACGGGUAACGGGGAAUUAGGGUUCGAUUCCGGAGAGGGAGCCCGAGAAACGGCUACCACAUCCAAGGAAGGCAGCAGGCGCGCAAAUUAUCCAAUCCCAACACGGGGAGGUAGUGACAAUAAAUAACAAUCCAGGGCCUUUUGGGUCUUGGAAUUGGAAUGAGUACAAUUUAAAUCCCUUAACGAUUAACAAUUGGAGGGCAAGUCUGGUGCCAGCAGCCGCGGUAAUUCCAGCUCCAAUAGCGUAUAUUAAAGUUGUUGCAGUUAAAAAGCUCGUAGUUGAAUUUCGGGAUCAAGGAAUCGGUCAUGCCUCGGUAUGUACUGGUUUUAUUGGUUCUCACCUUCUAAAGAACCAUAAUGUCAUUCAUUUGAUGUUAUGGGGAAUUAGGACUGUUACCUUGAAAAAAUUAGAGUGUUUAAAGCAGGCUUACGCUUGAAUACAUUAGCAUGGAAUAAUGAAAUAGGACAUCAGAUUCUAUUUUGUUGGUUUCUAGGAUCGAUGUAAUGAUUAAUAGGGAUAGUUGGGGGCAUUAGUAUCCAAUUGUCAGAGGUGAAAUUCUUGGAUUUAUUGAAGACUAACUACUGCGAAAGCAUUUGCCAAGGAUGUUUUCAUUAAUCAAGAACGAAAGUUAGGGGAUCGAAGACGAUCAGAUACCGUCGUAGUCUUAACCAUAAACUAUGCCGACUAGGGAUCGGAUGAUGUUAAUUUUAUAAUGACUCAUUCGGCACCUUACGGGAAACCAAAGUGUUUGGGUUC
Molecule: ribosomal RNA, 797 nt
Filed under: uncultured Glomus
Lineage: Eukaryota; Fungi; Glomeromycota; Glomeromycetes; Glomerales; Glomeraceae
Description: SSU rRNA
Rfam family: Eukaryotic small subunit ribosomal RNA
Source: RNAcentral